Molecule: ribosomal RNA, 720 nt
Filed under: uncultured anaerobic ammonium-oxidizing bacterium
Lineage: Bacteria
Description: bacterial SSU rRNA
Rfam family: Bacterial small subunit ribosomal RNA
Source: RNAcentral
GAGCACGUAGGUGGGUUUGUAAGUCAGAUGUGAAAGCCUCCUGUUCAACGGAAGAAUUGCAUCUGAAACUGCAGAUCUUGAGUGUAGGAGGGGAGAAUGGAACUUCUGGUGGAGCGGUGAAAUGCGUAGAUAUCAGAAGGAACGCCGGCGGCGAAAGCGAUUCUCUGGCCUAUUACUGACACUCAGUGUGCGAAAGCUAGGGGAGCAAACGGGAUUAGAUACCCCGGUAGUCCUAGCCGUAAACGAUGGGCACUAAGUAGAGGGAAUUACCGAUAUUCUCUCUGCCGUAGCUAACGCAUUAAGUGCCCCGCCUGGGGAGUACGGCCGCAAGGCUAAAACUCAAAAGAAUUGACGGGGGCUCGCACAAGCGGUGGAGCAUGUGGCUUAAUUCGAUGCAACGCGAAAAACCUUACCAGGGCUUGACAUGGUAGAAGUAGGAACCCGAAAGGGUAACGAACGGUAUCCAGUCCGUAGCUAUUACAGGUGUUGCAUGGCUGUCGUCAGCUCGUGUCGUGAGACGUUGGGUUAAGUCCCCUAACGAGCGAAACCCUUGUUUUUAGUUGCCAGCGGGUCAUGCCGGGCACUCUAGAAAGACUGCCGUCGUCAAGACGGAGGAAGGUGGGGAUGACGUCAAGUCAUCAUGGCCCUUAUGCCCCGGGCUGCACACGUGCUACAAUGGUCGGUACAAACGGAAGCGAAGCCGAGAGGUGAAGCGAAUCC